This 376-nucleotide ribosomal RNA is filed under the name uncultured bacterium. RNAcentral describes it as "bacterial SSU rRNA". It matches the Rfam family "Bacterial small subunit ribosomal RNA", at positions 521 to 896 of the family's 1533-position model. The record is from RNAcentral.
UAAAACGUAGGGGGCUAGCAUUGUCCGGAUUUAUUGGGCGUAAAGAGCACGUAGGCGGCUCAAUAAGUCAACUGUGAAAACUUCAGGCUUAACCUGAAGAUUGCAGUUGAAACUGUUGAGCUUGAGUUCAGUAGAGGAGAAUGGAAUUCCUAGUGUAGCGGUGAAAUGCGCAGAUAUUAGGAAGAACACCAGUAGCGAAGGCGGUUCUCUGGACUGUAACUGACGCUGAGGUGCGAAAGCUAGGGGAGCGAACAGGAUUAGAUACCCUGGUAGUCCUAGCCGUAAACGAUGGGCACUAGGUGUGGGGGGUUUAAAUCCUUCUGUGCCGGAGCUAACGCAUUAAGUGCCCCGCCUGGGGAGUACGACCGCAAGGUUA